UGAGCAAAUCGCGAAGCGCACCGCGCGCGCGCUAACCAGUCGUUUGUUGAUCCAACGAGUGUUCGGGUCGACGUGCGACCGUUCGUGAGUAUAGUCUAACAAGAAAUAAAGAUAGAUAGAUAGAUUAGAAGAUAGUUAGAUAAAUAGAUAAACAAACAACUAGAAGGAUAGAAAGAAAGAAAGAAAGAAAGAAGAAAGUAUCCUCGUCAUCAGCAACUGAAAUUUUGGAAGCAGCUAGAAGAAGGAAGGAAGGAAGGAAGGAAGAUUGAUUGAUUCAUCAUCAUUCAUCGAUCAUUUUUUUCAAUGAUCUCUACCAGUGAAUCAUAAGAAUAGGAUUUGAGUGUUUGGAUAUAGUAGUAUCGUUCGACAAUAAAAAAAAAAGUAAUAAUAAACUUCUCGAUGCAUCAUCGAUCGAAGACUUGAAUUUGGAAUUACCAUCCUUGCGAGGGAGGGGGAGGAAGGAAGGAAAAAAGGCAGAGGAAGAAUGAUGAAGAUGUAAAAAAUUCCAAAUUCAAGGAAAUAAAUUGAUAAGGAAACGAAG
RNAcentral lists this long non-coding RNA (541 nucleotides) under Polistes fuscatus (common paper wasp). Its description in RNAcentral is "uncharacterized LOC122519858". The record is from RNAcentral. Lineage: Eukaryota; Metazoa; Arthropoda; Insecta; Hymenoptera; Vespidae.